This 326-nucleotide ribosomal RNA is filed under the name uncultured eukaryote. RNAcentral's name for it is "partial 18S ribosomal RNA". It matches the Rfam family "Eukaryotic small subunit ribosomal RNA", at positions 1470 to 1796 of the family's 1831-position model. The record is from RNAcentral.
CCCUUAGAUGUUCUGGGCUGCACGCGCGCUACACUGAUGCACUCAACGAGUUUACGAGCUUGUCCGAGAGGAUUGGCUAAUCUUUUUAAAAUGCAUCGUGAUGGGGAUAGAUUAUUGCAAUUAUUAAUCUUCAACGAGGAAUUCCUAGUAAGCGCGAGUCAUCAGCUCGUGCUGAUUACGUCCCUGCCCUUUGUACACACCGCCCGUCGCUCCUACCGAUUGAGUGCUCAGGUGAAUAAUUCGGACUGCAGCAGUGUUUGGAUCCCGAACGCUGCAGCGGAAAGUUUAGUGAACCUUNUNACUUACNGGAAGGAGAANUCGUANCA